AUUGAACGCUGGCGGCAUGCCUUACACAUGCAAGUCGAACGGCAGCACGGGUGCUUGCACCUGGUGGCGAGUGGCGAACAGGUGAGUAAUACAUCGGAACGUACCCAGUAGUGGGGGAUAACGCACCGAAAGGUGCGCUAAUACCGCAUACGACCCACGGGUGAAAGCGGGGGACCGUAAGGCCUCGCGCUAUUGGAGCGGCCGAUGUCUGAUUAGCUAGUUGGCGGGGUAAAAGCCCACCAAGGCGACGAUCAGUAGCUGGUCUGAGAGGACGAUCAGCCACACUGGGACUGAGACACGGCCCAGACUCCUACGGGAGGCAGCAGUGGGGAAUUUUGGGCAAUGGGGGCAACCCUGAUCCAGCAAUGCCGCGUGUGCGAAGAAGGCCUUCGGGUUGUAAAGCACUUUUGUCAGGGAAGAAAUCUUUCAGGCUAAUACCCUUGGUAGGAUGACGGUACCUGAAGAAUAAGCACCGGCUAACUACGUGCCAGCCGCCGCAGUAA
This 503-nucleotide ribosomal RNA is filed under the name uncultured bacterium. Its description in RNAcentral is "partial 16S ribosomal RNA". It matches the Rfam family "Bacterial small subunit ribosomal RNA", at positions 30 to 523 of the family's 1533-position model. The record is from RNAcentral.